UAGGCUCUUGAUCUUAUGGCAAGUUCAGUGAGUCUUUAGCAAGUAGUCGAACUUUCUCGGUGAUAUCCGCGAACCUCCGAUGAUCUCUCCGGCGGACUUCUGAAAACUUCGGCAAGUCCCCAAUUCCUUCUUGGUUGGUUCCGGCAGCACUUCCGAUGAAUCUUCGGACUCUUGGCGGACUCUUGAACACCCAUCAAACUUGACUUCGGUAGACUUGCUUUAUGUCUUCAAGCUAUCGUAGUUAAUCCUGCAUAAGUAAAGCAAAACUUCGAUCUAGAUAAUUACUCCUAAGCAAUCAAGUUGUCUGGCAUGUCAUUGGUCCCUCGACGCUUCAUCUGAUUCUUCGGUGCAUCGUCCUCUCUUGCGGCCUAUUGCCCAAUCGGCCAGUUGACUCCGCAACUCCGAUAUCCUUGGUGCAAUACCCGCUCUUCUUGGCCCAAUGCCCGAAUCCACGGCCCGAAGCCUUUUGUCGAUACGUUGACCGAUCCACCGGCCCGACGUCUAAUCUUCUGACAUGUUUCUCCGGGGCAACAUGAUUUUUCUACUUUAAUUGUCUCAUCCUGAUCGAAGUAUCUUGCAUCACUCAAAAUGCAGAUUAAAUCAUAAACAUAUAUCAAGUGGUUUCAUCAUCAAAAUACGAGAUUAUAUAUAUAUAUAUAUAUAUAUAUAUAUAUAUAUAUAUAUAUAUAUAUCUUAAACAUUAGUUUAAUCACAUCGCUAAUUUACCUAAUCUAUUCACUCGAGGAUCACAUCUUGAUAAGCUAGUUAACUUUGCUAAUUCACAUCAUUUGAGUCAAGAUACGUGAAUAGAUUAGGUGCAUCGUCAAUCUGCUCAAGGUGAAUUAGCGAAGUUAGCUAGCUCAUAGAGAUAAGCGAAAUGAGAGUGAUAAUCUAGGUUAAACUAUAAUUUAAUUAAUUAAAAAAAUAUUACAAAGUAAUGAUAAACAGGAAUGAGUAUAUCGAAGAUAAAAAUAGAUUUUUUACAUCCCAAGUGUUGUUCUGACGGUCGUGUAGCGUAGUGUAUACGACUCACUCGCUCCUUAAUUCAAUCUAUUAUUCUUCUUACAUGAUAAUAGUUAAUUUAAUUGGAAAAGAUUUUAUGAGAUCAUUAUAAAAUUUUAGGAUCAAUUAUCGUUUGUAAUAAAAAAUAAAAAAAGAAAGAUGAUCAUCCCAUGCAUUACUAAUGAAUGAAUAUUUUAUUCUCUUCAGCUAUUAAUUAAUGGAAGCUUUGCGGGGGUGUUGUUAACAUAAUAAGCCUUCUGUCUUAAGGCAACAUCAUGAAUAGAAUCCACCUAAUGCGCUGUAUAGAGCCUGCAUUCCCUCUUCGUCAAGUAGUAAGCUCUCCAACUUACUAACGGGAGGCGGAGAGGUGGUGGUGGUGGUGGUGGCGGUGACGAUGAUGACCAGGGAAGACGAUAGAGGAGAGGAGUGGGAGGCGGAGGAGAUCGACUACGUGUUCAAGAUCGUCGUGAUCGGCGACUCGGCGGUGGGGAAGACGCAGUUGCUCGGCCGCUUCACCAAGGACGAGUUCUUCCUCGACUCCAAGUCCACCAUCGGCGUCGAGUUCCAAACUCGAACCCUCGUCCUCAACCGCAAGCGCAUCAAGGCCCAAAUCUGGGACACCGCCGGCCAAGAGCGGUACCCCCCCCUCCCUCCCCCCAUCUCAAUCUCAAGCUUUUAAGAUUCCUUUUUCUUUCUUGGAGUCGGGAACUCAUAGAUUGCACCUGAUUCCAGUUUGAUUCAUUGUCUAUCAAACUUCACUUACACAAGUGUGCAUUUGGUCCUGAUAAGAAACAAGAUGGAUCAAAACAUGAUCUUGUUGAUGAUGAUGAGAGGAUGCGUAUGGGUUUGGUUGACUGUGACACAGACCGGUGGAUGUUGUUCUCGUCGCCAUCUUUUUAUCUUCACAUGUUUGAUGGUUUGUGAAGCAUAUGACUUCCUUGAUGACAAAAGGAAAUCCAUUGGGUUCACAAGCAUCACAAUGACCCACAAUUGACUUACUCCCCUGACCCUAAUGAUCUUGUACCAAUCUUGGUUAAUGAGGCAGAAUUGACCUACCCUGAUCCUAGUGAUCCUUGUUUUUGGGUCUACGAGAGAAAAUAACUUGUACCAAAUAUUUGAGCUUGUAUUAGUUUUUGAGUUAGAAUUGGCCUUAAUAAUCUUUUUCUUUGGGGUCUAUAAGAAAAUAAUUUGUACCAAAUAUUUUAGUGAGUAUUAAUGACCAAGUUGAAUCUUUAUUUUUGAGUCAGAAUCUAUCUCUCCUAACUCUAAUGAUCCUUUUAUUUGGGGUCUAUAAGAAAAUAAUUUGUAUUAAAUAUUUGAGUGAGUAUUAUUUAUUAGGACCGUAUCGGCACUGAGAGAGGGGGAGGGUGAAUUAGUGCUUUCAUAAAAUCACGUCGGUUUAAAAAUUCUCGUUCGAUAAAUCAGUUUACAAUAUAAACGAAAAGCAUAAAAUAAAUGAAACCAGAUUUAUAGUGAUUCGGUCGUCGUGACCUACAUCCACUCCCGAUUCCUCUUCACUCGAGGCCAACGACUUCCACUACUGAUCUUCUUUCAACGGGCGAAGAUUAACUACCCUUACAACACUUUCUCCUUUUCACAGGUUCAGGAGAGAACCUCUUACACCUCUUUUUUAGACCUCAUUCCUCCCUUAGAAAACUUAUAACUCUAGGAGGAAGAGACUCUAAAUCCUAAGAGAGUUUCUAAUUUUUUUUCUCAAGUAUUCUUUCCUCUUUUUCUACUUAAAUUCAUGCUCUUCGAAGCAGAAAUAACUGGGGUAUUUUCAGACCCUAAUUGGCUUAAAAAAUGAAGCCAAAAAAAAAUCUCAUCCCGAGUUUCCUAAGUCUUGGUGGUAUCAUUGCUUGUAGCACUAUCACUGGACGGUACCACCGCGCAAUCUAACAGUACCACUGCCUGACACAAUUUGGGAAACUGUGUUUGGGCAAUACCACCACCCAAACUAGCGAUGCCAUCGCUUGACACAAUCUGGGAGACUAUGUUUGGGUAGUACAACAGCCCAGUCUGACGGUGCCACCAUUUGACCCUUUUAUGGUGGGUGACCGAAUAUGUCUUUAACUUAGCCCAAAACAGUCCGAAACUCUAAUAAUCUUUGUUUUUGAAUCAGAAUUUACCUCUCCCCACUUUGUUUUUCUUUAGGGUCUAUAAGAAAACAACUUGUACCAAAUAUUUGAGCUAGUAUUAUUCAGUAUUAUUCGCUAAGUAAAUGACCAGGUUGAAUCUUGAUUUUUUGAGUCACAGGUGACCUUCCCUGGCCCUUCGUUUUUUUCUUUUUUGGGACAAUAAGAAAACAGCAUUACCAAAUAUUUGAGUGCAUAUUGUUUACCAAGAAAAUGAUCAUGUUCAAUCUUAAUUUUUUGAGUCAGAAUUGACCUCCCCUGACCUAUUGAUUGUAUUGGGUCUAUAAGAAACCGAUUUGUACUAAAUACUUGAGUGAGAAUUAUUUACUCAGUGAAUGACAAUCUUCUGGCAGCAGUUAAUAGAACUGACCCACCCCAGUCCAACACAAACAGACAUGCUUCCAUUAUGAAGGGAAGCCCUCUCUAGCGUAGAUGAACACUGCACAUGCAGCAUGAAACUUAGCUUGUUCCCUGUUGUUCUAAUGCACUGAAAUAAAUUAUGACCCAUCUGGGCUUUAAAUAAAUACAUAUAUUGUAUAUAAGAAGCUUAGGCAGUUCCCAUGAAUCAUGUCAGAAAUGUUCAUCAUACUACACUGCGAGUAGCAGGUGGGACUCUUCGAGCAUGUAGGGUCAUGAGCCAGUGUAUGUCAUGAAGGUUUUUGAUCCCUGUACUCCUUUCCUAUCCAUAUAUUUCCAUGCUGUGAAACUGACUCAUGACUUCUCUAGUGUUGAUUAUUUACUACCACCA
RNAcentral lists this long non-coding RNA (3885 nucleotides) under Musa acuminata (dwarf banana). RNAcentral's name for it is "long non-coding RNA (MACU_LNC001287)". The record is from RNAcentral. Lineage: Eukaryota; Viridiplantae; Streptophyta; Magnoliopsida; Zingiberales; Musaceae.